GCGAGCGUGGCGGAAUUGGUAGACGCAGCGGCUUUAGGUGCCGCCAUCGCAAGAUGUGGGGGUUCGAGUCCCUUCGCUCGCACCA
This 85-nucleotide transfer RNA is filed under the name Pseudomonadota bacterium. Its description in RNAcentral is "tRNA-Leu". It matches the Rfam family "tRNA". Rfam says of the family: Transfer RNA (tRNA) molecules are approximately 80 nucleotides in length. Their secondary structure includes four short double-helical elements and three loops (D, anti-codon, and T loops). The record is from RNAcentral. Lineage: Bacteria; Pseudomonadati; Pseudomonadota.